This 253-nucleotide ribosomal RNA is filed under the name uncultured bacterium. Its description in RNAcentral is "partial 16S ribosomal RNA". It matches the Rfam family "Bacterial small subunit ribosomal RNA", at positions 524 to 776 of the family's 1533-position model. The record is from RNAcentral.
UACGUAGGGGGCGAGCGUUGUCCGGAGUUACUGGGCGUAAAGCGCACGCAGGCGGUCUGCUAAGUUUGGAGUGACAGUUGGUGGCUUAACUGCCAAAGUGCUUCGAAAACUGACAGACUUGAGGGCUUCAGAGGGACACGGAAUUCCGGGUGGAGUGGUGAAAUGCGUAGAGAUCGGGAGGAACACCCGUGGCGAAGGCGGCCAGCUGGGCCGGCCCUGACGCUGAGGCGCGAAGGCGUGGGGAGCGAACGGG